Molecule: non-coding RNA, 749 nt
Organism: Schizosaccharomyces pombe (fission yeast)
Lineage: Eukaryota; Fungi; Ascomycota; Schizosaccharomycetes; Schizosaccharomycetales; Schizosaccharomycetaceae
Source: the annotation of a GenBank genome assembly
CUCCUAAGUCAUAUAUAGUAACCAUGAUCUACACAUUAUCUGUAAAGACAGAUAUUUCCAACCGAUAAACAAGCACAUGUCAGAUAUACAAAUUGGGUAUAAAUAGAUAACCCAAAAUCAUCGUGUGAAAAUGAACAUCCGAAAGCUCGGAUGUUAAGCCGUCUUUUAUCGGCUACUUAAAUUUAGUGUCUAGAAGCAAAUGAUCCCAUUCAUCCCGUUCUUUUGUGGUAAUAGCAUUGUCUAAAGGAGGAUAAAAAAAUUUGGUGUAUGAUUUUUGGUGUUGAGUAAAAUCCUUCAAUUCAACGAUCUACUUUGAAAGCUAACAAAUGUUUUAAUCAACUGAUCUAUAAUACCAGACUAUGUUUAAUCGAAAAUGAGACAAUCGGUUUUAACACGGUCUAGCACUAAGCAGCCGUCGACCAGGUAAAAAUAUCGAAGAAGAGGACAGAUACUAGUUUUUUAAGUGAUUUGACUUGUUUUACUACAGUGAUGUAAAUGUCUUUACUGGACUAAAAGCAAUCUCUCAGAAGAAUUAAGAUACAUCAAGAGAAAGCGUAAUAAUUGAUUUUUGAACUUUCUAAUCCGUGAGCUACUGUUCAUAACUGGCAAACAAAAAAAGACUCUAAAGAAAGGCAAUUGACAUUAAUCUAUUGUAAUUGACGUUGGCAGUGUGUAUCUUAAUUGCUCCGUGAAUGCUGCUGAUGUUUAUUUAAUUUACCAAUAAUGAUUCGUUUUCUUUUGUAGAUCAA